This 508-nucleotide ribosomal RNA is filed under the name uncultured bacterium. RNAcentral describes it as "partial 16S ribosomal RNA". It matches the Rfam family "Bacterial small subunit ribosomal RNA", at positions 30 to 523 of the family's 1533-position model. The record is from RNAcentral.
AUUGAACGCUGGCGGCAUGCCUUACACAUGCAAGUCGAACGGCAGCGGGGGAGAAGCUUGCUUUUCCUGCCGGCGAGUGGCGAACGGGUGAGUAAUACAUCGGAACGUGCCCUGUAGUGGGGGAUAACUAGUCGAAAGAUUAGCUAAUACCGCAUACGACCUGAGGGUGAAAGUGGGGGACCGCAAGGCCUCAUGCUAUAGGAGCGGCCGAUGUCUGAUUAGCUAGUUGGUGGGGUAAAGGCCUACCAAGGCGACGAUCAGUAGCUGGUCUGAGAGGACGAUCAGCCACACUGGGACUGAGACACGGCCCAGACUCCUACGGGAGGCAGCAGUGGGGAAUUUUGGACAAUGGGCGAAAGCCUGAUCCAGCAAUGCCGCGUGUGUGAAGAAGGCCUUCGGGUUGUAAAGCACUUUUGUCCGGAAAGAAAUGGCUCUGGUUAAUACCUGGGGUCGAUGACGGUACCGGAAGAAUAAGGACCGGCUAACUACGUGCCAACAGCCGCCGCCG